GAUGAACGCUAGCGACAGGCCUAACACAUGCAAGUCGAGGGGCAGCACGAAAGAAGCUUGCUUUUUUUGGUGGCGACCGGCGCACGGGUGAGUAACGCGUAUGCAACCUGCCUAUAUGAGGGGGAUAACCCGGAGAAAUCCGGACUAACACCGCAUAAUAUUGAGAAAAGGCAUCUUUUUUCAAUUAAAUAUUUAUAGCAUAUAGAUGGGCAUGCGUCUGAUUAGCUUGUUGGUAAGGUAACGGCUUACCAAGGCAACGAUCAGUAGGGGUUCUGAGAGGAAGGUCCCCCACACUGGUACUGAGACACGGACCAGACUCCUACGGGAGGCAGCAGUGAGGAAUAUUGGUCAAUGGGCGAGAGCCUGAACCAGCCAAGUCGCGUGAAGGAAUACGGCCCUAUGGGUCUUAAACUUCUUUUGUAGGGGGAUAAAAAAUGCUAUGUAUAGCAUCUUGUAGGUACCCUACGAAUAAGGAUCGGCUAACUCCGUGCCAGCAGCCGCGGUAAUACGGAGGAUUCGAGCGUUAUCCGGAUUAAUUGGGUUUAAAGGGUGCGUAGGCGGGAAGAUAAGUCAGUGGUGAAAGUUUGCGGCUCAACCGUAAAAUUGCCAUUGAAACUGUCUUUCUUGAGUGCAAAUGAGGUAGGCGGAAUGUGUUGUGUAGCGGUGAAAUGCUUAGAUAUGACACAGAACUCCGAUAGCGCAGGCAGCUUACCAGGCCACCACUGACACUGAAGCACGAAAGUGUGGGUAUCAAACAGGAUUAGAUACCCUGGUAGUCCACACAGUAAACGAUGAAUACUAACUGUUUGCGAUACACAGUAAGCGGUCGAGCGAAAGCGUUAAGUAUUCCGCCUGGGGAGUACGCCGGCAACGGUGAAACUCAAAGGAAUUGACGGGGGCCCGCACAAGCGGAGGAACAUGUGGUUUAAUUCGAUGAUACGCGAGGAACCUUACCCGGGCUCGAACGGCUUUUGAAUUUGGUGGAAACAUCAAAGUCAGCAAUGACAGGAGUCGAGGUGCUGCAUGGUUGUCGUCAGCUCGUGCCGUGAGGUGUCGGCUUAAGUGCCAUAACGAGCGCAACCCCUAUCUUUAGUUACCAUCAGGUCAAGCUGGGGACUCUAGAGAGACUGCCACCGUAAGGUGAGAGGAAGGUGGGGAUGACGUCAAAUCAGCACGGCCCUUACGUCCGGGGCUACACACGUGUUACAAUGGGUGGGACAAUAGGUUGCUACUUAGCGAUAAGAUGCUAAUCCUUCAAACCCACUCCCAGUUCGGAUCGAAGUCUGCAACCCGACUUCGUGAAGCUGGAUUCGCUAGUAAUCGCGCAUCAGCCAUGGCGCGGUGAAUACGUUCCCGGGCCUUGUACACACCGCCCGUCAAGCCAUGGAAGCCGGGGGUACCUGAAGUUCGUAACCGUUAAGGAGCGACCUAGGGUAAAACUGGUAACUGGGGCU
RNAcentral lists this ribosomal RNA (1454 nucleotides) under uncultured Bacteroidota bacterium. RNAcentral describes it as "bacterial SSU rRNA". It matches the Rfam family "Bacterial small subunit ribosomal RNA". Lineage: Bacteria; Pseudomonadati; Bacteroidota. The record is from RNAcentral.